This 423-nucleotide ribosomal RNA is filed under the name uncultured bacterium. RNAcentral's name for it is "bacterial SSU rRNA". It matches the Rfam family "Bacterial small subunit ribosomal RNA", at positions 202 to 622 of the family's 1533-position model. The record is from RNAcentral.
AAGASCUUGCGCUUUUGGAGCGGCCGAMGCCUGAUUAGCUUGUUGGUAAGGUAAAAGCUUACCAAGGCUUCGAUCAGUAGCUGGUCUGAGAGGACGGCCAGCCACACUGGGACUGAGACACGGCCCAGACUCCUACGGGAGGCAGCAGUGGGGAAUUUUGGACAAUGGGGGCAACCCUGAUCCAGCCAUGCCGCGUGAGUGAAGAAGGCCUUCGGGUUGUAAAGCUCUUUCAGCCGGAACGAAACGGUUACGGUUAAUACCCGUGAUUACUGACGGUACCGGAAGAAGAAGCACCGGCUAACUACGUGCCAGCAGCCGCGGUAAUACGUAGGGUGCGAGCGUUAAUCGGAAUUACUGGGCGUAAAGCGUGCGCAGGUGGUUUUGUAAGUCAGAUGUGAAAGCCCCGGGCUCAACCUGGGAACU